RNAcentral lists this small RNA (31 nucleotides) under Bombyx mori (domestic silkworm). RNAcentral describes it as "ovarian small RNA-24570". The record is from RNAcentral. Lineage: Eukaryota; Metazoa; Arthropoda; Insecta; Lepidoptera; Bombycidae.
UCAACAGAUGUGACCGGCCUAUUGCCACUUC